This 604-nucleotide long non-coding RNA is filed under the name Marmota monax (woodchuck). The record is from RNAcentral. Lineage: Eukaryota; Metazoa; Chordata; Mammalia; Rodentia; Sciuridae.
GUUUAUGUGCUGGACCCAUAGGACAAGACUCCAUCUGAAAGCCAGGGAGGAGGGCAAUGUCCUCACUGGGGAGAAGAUAGAGGAGUGACAUGCUCAAAACCUUAUCUUAGAAAAAUUAUCUCAAACUUUCCAACCUGGGCCAUAUGAUUGGUUGCAUUCACAUCCCCUGUCAGCAGGAGGUAGGGAGGAUUGAACAGGAGGACCAGCCAGGAGACUGAUACAGGAUGACAAAUUGGUUACUUAGGCUGAGCGAUGUGGGUAUUCUAUGUGUGGUGACUUGAUAAACAAAAUAUGAUGUGACCAUUUGACAGAAUAUUAUUUAACAACUGUGUCAUAAAAGGUGAAUUUUUGAUACAUACUACAACAUGGAUGAACUUUGAAAACACCAUGCGAAUGAAAGGAGCCAGUUACAAAUGACCGUUUAUUGUACAAUUCUGUUUACAUGAAAUGUUCAGUAUUGGAAAAUCUAUAGACAGAAUGCACAAUAGUGGUUGUCUAGGCUGGAUGAGGGGAGGGAGAAUGAGGUGGUGACUGCUAAUGGGCACAUGAUUUCUUAUUGGGAUGAUGUAAAUGUUUUAAAAUUUGAUCACGGUGAUGGUUUCCC